GAUGAAGAACGUAGCGAAAUGCGAUAAGUAAUGCGAAUUGCAGAAUUCAGUGAGUCAUCGAAUCUUUGAACGCACAUUGCGCCCUGUGGUAUUCCGCAGGGCAUGCCUGUUCGAGCGUCAUUUCAACCCUCAAGCUCUGCUUGGUGUUGGGCCCUGCCCGCUGCGGCCGGCCCUAAAGACAGUGGCGGUGCCGCCUGGCCCUGAGCGUAGUACAUCUCUCGCUCCAGUGCCCGGUGGUAGCCUGCCAGAACCCCAACUCUCGUGGUUGACCUCGGAUCAGGUAGGUAUACCCGCUGAACGUAAGCAUAUCAAUAAGCGGAGGA
RNAcentral lists this unclassified non-coding RNA (323 nucleotides) under soil metagenome. RNAcentral describes it as "partial contains 5.8S ribosomal RNA, internal transcribed spacer 2, and large subunit ribosomal RNA". The stretch from base 1 to 120 matches the Rfam family "5.8S ribosomal RNA", at positions 35 to 154 of the family's 154-position model. The record is from RNAcentral.